RNAcentral lists this long non-coding RNA (1256 nucleotides) under Pan paniscus (pygmy chimpanzee). Its description in RNAcentral is "lncRNA (ENSPPAG00000044928.1)". The record is from RNAcentral. Lineage: Eukaryota; Metazoa; Chordata; Mammalia; Primates; Hominidae.
GACUGCACGGCAGCGAGGGGAUUGUGGAUCUUAUAUUAAUGUUUUUGUGUCGAGGCAGUGCAUUAGCACUACAGGUGCUUGUUACAUGAGCAAGGGGGUGUCAUAUUUUGAGUGUCAUGUCUGCAUUAGGAAUGCUGCAUUUGUCUUCCCAGGCUGCGGUGUGGAUCUCGCACUGCGGCCGCCUCACCUUGGCUGGGGAGAACCUCGGUGGGCAGGAUUCAGAGGGGCUUUUGGUUUCCCGUUUUCCACACUGAACCCUUCUAACUGGUCUCUGACCCUGAUUAUUCAGGGCUGCAAACAGGAAGGAUUUUAUUCACCGUCGAUGCGGCCCCGAGUUGUCCCAAAGCGAGGCAGUGCCCCCAAGGUCCGUGCUGAGGAGAACGCUGCUCUGCCUUUGCGGUGUCCCCCGGGUCUAUGCUGAGCAGAACGCAGCUCCGCCCUCGCGGUGCCCCCGGCCCGCCCGGGUCUGUGCCAAGGAGAACACUGCUCCGCCUUCGCUGUAUCUCCGAAGUCUGUGCAGAGGAGAACUCAGCUCCGCCCUCGCGAUGCUCUCCGAGUCUGUGCUGAGCACAACGCAGCUCCGCCCUCGCAAAGGCACAGCGCGGGCGCAGGCGCGGGGCGGUGCACAGCGCGGGCGCAGGCGCCGAGAGGCGCACAGGAGACCUCAGGCCCAGGCUCCACUCCCCAGCUGUGAAAGGACUGCUGGCCAGACCCCCAAGCUAGCCCGCCAGGCCUCCAUAGAGCUGCCCAGCAUGGCUGCGUCCAGUACCAAAAGUUGGUGGGAGACGGGUGAGGUACAGGCUCAGUCUGCAGCCAAGACUCCGUCCUGCAAGGAUAUUGUGGCUGGAGACAUGAGCAAGAAAAGCCUCUGGGAGCAGAAGGGAGGCUCCAAGACCUCAUCAACAAUUAAGACUCUUUGGCAGUUGCACUGGGUACUGGCUGAGUUCUGGAAAACAGGAAUGUGAGCAGAGUGCUGCAGAUCUCCUUGUCAGGAGCACCUAAGAGCUGGCAUGACUCUACACCCUCUCUCCUUCUGCAAUGACCUCGUGUCAAGAUGGCAGACCUGCAGAGAUGAAUGUGCCUGGAUACCUGAGUCACCAGGUGGAGGAAACUCCCAUUGACAUGCAUCACACUCCACAUAUGAAACCCUUCUUUUUCUGCACUGUCACUGGGGUUAGGGAUUAUUACUCACUGCAACUUAGCCAAGCAUUAAGUUGCUUGACUAAUACAAGUUUCAAUAAAUGUCGCUUCAUUUC